RNAcentral lists this ribosomal RNA (130 nucleotides) under Halalkalibacter oceani. RNAcentral's name for it is "Bacterial small subunit ribosomal RNA". It matches the Rfam family "Bacterial small subunit ribosomal RNA", at positions 1 to 113 of the family's 1533-position model. The record is from Rfam by way of RNAcentral. Lineage: Bacteria; Bacillati; Bacillota; Bacilli; Caryophanales; Bacillaceae.
UUCAUGGAGAGUUUGAUCCUGGCUCAGGACGAACGCUGGCGGCGUGCCUAAUACAUGCAAGUCGAGCGGAUGAACCUGAUUGAUUCCUUCGGGAUGACGUCAGGGGAUUCAGCGGCGGACGGGUGAGUAA